Molecule: long non-coding RNA, 1097 nt
Filed under: Scophthalmus maximus (turbot)
Lineage: Eukaryota; Metazoa; Chordata; Actinopteri; Pleuronectiformes; Scophthalmidae
Description: lncRNA (ENSSMAG00000034997.1)
Source: RNAcentral
CUUGGUUUCUUUUUCGCCUGAAGGUUUAUCCACAUUUGCAUCAAUGGCAGAACACUGGGGACAACCUUGGAACACAUCAGGAAUGGCUCAGCUCGUCUGCUGCACAGAAUCAUGACUGACUCAACCCUCGGUGUCUGCACUGCAAUCAUAAGAGACCCGCUUUGCACGUCUAUACAUCAAAAUGUCAAUGCUGCUUUUAGCUGAUUAGAGGCGCUUCUCGACGAAGCCACAACAACAUGGCCUUUGCUCAGACUUGUCGGCAGGACCCAAGAACAGCCUGAGGAGCUGAUCAUGACGACUGCACACAGCAGGGAUUGGGUGUCACAAAAGGUGACUCACAGGGAGGCUGCUUCAGGAAAAGAAGUUCCCUGAGACUUAGUGCACACGUUACUUAAUCUUCUCACACCCACAUUUAAGACACAGCUGAACAAUGGUGCAGAUAUCUAGUUCUUCUUGGCUCUUUUCAGAUUAAGGGCCGUGGAACUACUAGAGGUGUUUCAGCCUAUACGUGAAGGAACCGACUCUCUACAUAACUAUCACGCACCCUGUGAUAGAAUAUCAUGACUGCAUUAACAGUCAUUACUGUCAUUUGGAAGACAGGUUUCUAACCUCCUAACCAAUUUCAAUUACAUCAUGGUAAAUGGCAACUUUUGAUUUAAUAUCCUUUUGCUAAUUUCACCUUCACAAAUAUCAUAUUAUGAAAAUGGAGAUUUAAUUUCCUGACUUUGUCUCAGUGCUACACGUACCAAACAAAGGAAUGUAGAGGAAGGAAAGUAUAUAUAUAUAUAUAUAUAUAUAUAUAUAUAUAUAUAUCGUUGCCAUUCACUAAAUUAACUUGCUAAGAUAAAGAAUAAUAAAGUGCUGUUGAAAAGAAGAUAAAACAGACGUGCAUUGCAGAAACAGAUUCCAGUGACAUUAUCACCUGUUAUUAAUCUCUCAACAAAAAGCUUAUGAUGUGUUUCUUAAACAGCUUCGUUCACAGAGUCACUCAACUGCUGUUGAUCUUAUAGUUUUCAGCAACAGAACCAAAAAUCAUAUUCCUCAAAAUGUUUAGCCGUCUUUCUCAUCAUUAAACUUUACUGCUUUAUCAAACCUGC